This 1426-nucleotide unclassified non-coding RNA is filed under the name Hevea brasiliensis (rubber tree). Lineage: Eukaryota; Viridiplantae; Streptophyta; Magnoliopsida; Malpighiales; Euphorbiaceae. The record is from RNAcentral.
GCUGGUUAUCUCGUUCUAAGUAGACGACUUUUAUUGGUCCCCUUUAAGUGCAGAAGAAAUCCAAUAUGAGGCUGCUACAUGAAUGUCUGGCUCCAUAUUUGGAGAAAGCAAUAGAGGAGUUACGGCAACAAAUCCAUUUUCAAGUGCUCUGAAAUCCAGAUCCUCAUCAGUAUCUUCAUGCUCCUUGUCAAGAAACUCUAGACGAAAAUACUUUUUCACACGAUUAGUAUCAGAUUUUCCUGAAGCCCCAACUGAUUCAAUUUCAACAUUCUUCCUUUGUGUGGUCAGACGGCGAGCUAAACCAGCAGCAGAAGCAUCUCGACUAAGCUGUGCAAGUUGGAUGCCAAGACUUUGUUGGUUUGACAUGAAAUGUCCAGUAGAAGGAUGCCGGUUGGCUGAAACAGCUAGCCAGCUAGGUGAGGAUCUCCACAUACUUUGCUUAGUCAGUUUGAAACCCCUAUUUGUAGAUGGAGAUGAUGGGAUUUCUAUAUGCAGAGAGCAGCUCUUUGGGAAACUCCCUUUCUCAAUAUCUCUGACAGCAGCAUUGAUCAAUGGCCGACAUACAGCUGCUGCAUCCUUAAAAUCACUUUCCUUGCUUUCAUUCUUCUUCCAGUUUAGUGAUAUUGAUAGAGAUGGAACACCAGAAAUUAAUGCCUCUCUAGCUCCAGCAACAACACCCGAGUAAAACAUGUGAUUACCACAGCUUGAUCCCUGGUUAAUUCCACUAACCACCAGCACAGGCUUUGACCAAGAAAACAGUGCUCCAGACAGUGCUAAUGAGACACAAUCCACUGGAGUCCCAGAAACUUCAUAAGCUGUGGCACCCUUAAUAUCAGCAGAAGUUACAGCAACUGUUUCUUGCAGAGUAACGGAAUGACCAGAUACUGAUUUGUCCGAUUGCGGGGCGCAGACAUGGACAUUGUAUAGGCCUUCAUGGACGAGAGCUUGAACAAGAUAAACAAGACCAGGAGACUCAAUCCCAUCUCCAUUAGUAACCAAAACAAUAGGCUUUGAAUUUUCUUCAGUCUCGGAAGUAUUUUCAACAGAAGUACAAGUAGAGCGUUCAGGUGAUUUAUCAUUACUAUCAUUUGAUUGGCCCUCUUCUUCACCCUUUCUGCUUAACAAGACUUCCUGAAGAUUCGAAACCAACCCAGGAGGCAGGAAGUUGUUCUUCACAGAAGUCAUUCUAAAAACUGAAAAGAUUUCAAGAAAUGCAGAGAGAAAGCGAGGUGGGUAGGCCUGUACAAAAGAAUCAAAACCCUAGAGAGAGAAAGGGAGGAGCGAGAGGAUAGAAGAGAGAAAAAGUAGGGUAAUAAAGAGCUGGAAAUGAAAAAGUGUAAUAGAUGGAUAGACCGGGUCUAACGGGGUUACUUGAUAGAGAGAGAAAGCAAGUUCUGGAGAGAGACAGAAGAAGAGAAUGGUCGUU